This is a non-coding RNA of Triticum aestivum (bread wheat), 180 nucleotides long. The record is from Rfam. NCBI's taxonomy places the organism in Eukaryota, Viridiplantae, Streptophyta, Magnoliopsida, Poales, Poaceae.
AUAUCUUUCUCGGCCUUUUGGCUAAGAUCAAGUGUAGUAUCUGUUUUUAUCAGUUUAAUAUCUGAUAUGUGGGUCAUGUGCCCACAACGAUAUUAAAUUUAUUUUUUGAGGUGAGGGUUUAUCAGGGCCCUUGUGUGUCGUCCGGUCGUUGCACUGCUGCCCGGGCCUGGCGCGCCCCAA